Molecule: long non-coding RNA, 1062 nt
Organism: Cephus cinctus (wheat stem sawfly)
Lineage: Eukaryota; Metazoa; Arthropoda; Insecta; Hymenoptera; Cephidae
Exons: 3
Source: RefSeq, a predicted model, not a curated record
GAAGCUGAUGAAAAUGAAGAUUUACUCCUCGCGGAUACUUCUCGGUAAAACUUUCAUCUGUUACGGUGGGGAGAUAGAGAGAGAAAAUGAGAGGAGAGACUUCGGUCUCCUCGCAAACAACAAGCUGAUCGGGUACCGUGUCUUCGUGGGAAAGGAUGAUUUCCACGUGACUUUCGUUCCCAAGAAGAAACUCCCAUGGGCUGUGUACAAGGAAUACCUACGAUCCUGUUGAGAUGGGCUGCAAGUUUAUAAUACUGUGGGACGGUUUCAAAGAAACGCACAGUUCGACGACGUGCACCUACUUGGUGGCUGAUCUCAGCCUAAGGAGGUUGAAGGUACCGAGAGACAGAUUGACCUUUGCCUGAGUGUAACUUUGUCUGUGUCCCGGUGAGGACUGAGGAACCAAGAACUCCGAGUGUUGGGAACCGGAGAAAGGUGUAGAGCGAGGAACCCCUCUCUCUUGCUGUUUCACUGGCUGCUGGCUGGAUGGUUGGAUGGCUGGAUGGCUGGGUUAACUUACUUGUCUCACCAUAAGUUCAGGACUGCUCACAGUCAGCCCGUUAAUCACCCGUUUCCCAUAUACGUCAAAGCUGUCUACAGUUUCUGCUGAGGAUGCGCAACGCGCAAGGUAGAAGGUAUUAUAGGUGGCGACCCGAGGACCUACAUUCGCUAACACCGCAACAGGCGUAACGAGAGUUCAUUCGAGAAGACACUCACUUAGCCCCCCGUAUAGGCGGCACCACUUCAAUCGGCAAGACAUCUCACGAAGAAGAAGCCAGCAAGUGGGACCACGGAUCCUUGAGAUUAAAUACGUACCAAAGUUUCUUAGGAGAGAAACUGUCGUUCCUAAGCAUUGGAUUGUACUCUCUCGUAAAAUAUUUCCUGAAAGAAUACAAAAGCUUAGCAUUAAAAAUUUACCAAUCUAAUACCCACACAGAAUCCCGGGUGACAGCCACUCGUUAAUUUAUCAAUUACUGAACACACGUAUAAAUAGUAUUUUAAUGCUGUGUCUAUAAUAUAACAUUAUGAAUUAUAGUAAAUUAUGAAAUUAUAGGGUAGACG